UACGAGGGGGGCGAGCGUUGUUCGGAAUUAUUGGGCGUAAAGGGUGCGUAGGCGGUUUGGUAAGUCUGAUGUGAAAUCUAUGGGCUCAACUCAUAGUCUGCAUCGGAAACUGCCGGGCUUGAGUGUGGGAGAGGUGAGUGGAAUUCCUGGUGUAGCGGUGAAAUGCGUAGAUAUCAGGAGGAACACCGAUGGCGAAGGCAGGUCUCUGGGCAUUAACUGACGCUGAGGAGCGAAAGCAUGGGGAGCGAACAGG
This 253-nucleotide ribosomal RNA is filed under the name uncultured bacterium. RNAcentral's name for it is "partial 16S ribosomal RNA". It matches the Rfam family "Bacterial small subunit ribosomal RNA", at positions 524 to 776 of the family's 1533-position model. The record is from RNAcentral.